RNAcentral lists this ribosomal RNA (499 nucleotides) under uncultured bacterium. Its description in RNAcentral is "bacterial SSU rRNA". It matches the Rfam family "Bacterial small subunit ribosomal RNA", at positions 8 to 507 of the family's 1533-position model. The record is from RNAcentral.
AGAGUUUGAUCCUGGCUCAGGAUGAACGCUGGCGGCAUGCCUAAUACAUGCAAGUCGAACGGAAUCUUAUAUGUUCCUCGUUUCGGAUUUAGUUCCGAGUUGGGGAACAAUAAGAUUUAGUGGCGGACGGGUGAGUAACACGUUGGUACCUACCCUCUAGUGGGGGAAUAACUUCGAGAAAUCGAGGCUAAUACCGCAUAAUAUCUACGGAUUAAAGCAUUUAUGCGCUAGAGGAGGGGCCUGCGUCUGAUUAGCUUGUUGGUGAGGUAAAAGCUCACCAAGGCGACGAUCAGUAGCUGGAUCGAGAGGUUGACCAGCCACACUGGGACUGAGAUACGGCCCAGACUCCUACGGGAGGCAGCAGUAAGGAAUCUUCCACAAUGGGCGAAAGCCUGAUGGAGCAAUGCCGCGUGCAGGAUGACGGCCUUCGGGUUGUAAACUGCUUUUAUAUGGGAAGAUUAUGACGGUACCAUAUGAAUAAGGACCGGCUAACUACGUG